This 508-nucleotide ribosomal RNA is filed under the name uncultured Schizosaccharomyces. RNAcentral describes it as "eukaryotic LSU rRNA". It matches the Rfam family "Eukaryotic large subunit ribosomal RNA", at positions 63 to 565 of the family's 3401-position model. The record is from RNAcentral. Lineage: Eukaryota; Fungi; Ascomycota; Schizosaccharomycetes.
AAAUAACCAUGAUUCCCCUAGUAACGGCGAGUGAAGCGGGAAAAGCUCAAAUUUGAAAUCUGGUAGAGUUUUAUUCUUUGCCCGAGUUGUAAUUUCAAGAAGCUGCUUUGAGUAAUGAACGUCGGUCUAAGUUCCUUGGAACAGGACGUCAGAGAGGGUGAGAACCCCGUCUUUGGCCGAUGUGCUUUGCCAUAUAAAGCGCUUUCUAAGAGUCGAGUUGUUUGGGAAUGCAGCUCUAAAUGGGUGGUGAAUUUCAUCUAAAGCUAAAUAUUGGCGAGAGACCGAUAGCGAACAAGUAGAGUGAUCGAAAGAUGAAAAGAACUUUGAAAAGAGAGUUAAAUAGUACGUGAAAUUGCUGAAGGGGAAGCAUUGGAAACCAGUCUUACCUUGGUGAGAUCAGCUGUUUACUUGUAGACAGUGCACUCUGAACCUAGGUAGUCAGCAUCAGUUUCGGGACGAAAGAUAGGAUGUGCUUUGGCUUGCUCAGAAGUGUAUAGCCCUUAUGUAA